CGUACUUAGCCCAAACAAAUAAAAUACAACUAUAAAUUAAACCUAAAUUAAAACAUUUACUACACAUAAUAGUAUAGGAGAUAGAAAUUUUUCACAGGCGCUAUAGAGAAAGUACCGCAAGGGAACAAUGAAAGAAUUUACCAAAGCAACAAAUAGCAAAGCUUACCCCUUGUACCUUUUGCAUAAUGAUUUAACUAGACAUAAUUUAGCAAAGAGAACUUAAGUUAAUAUCCCCGAAACCAGACGAGCUACUUAUAAGCAGCUUCAUAGAGCAAACUCAUCUAUGUGGCAAAAUAGUGAGAAGACUCAUAAGUAGAGGUGAAAAGCCUAUCGAGCCUGGUGAUAGCUGGUUGUCCAGUAAAGAAUUUUAGUUCAAACUUAAAUCUGCCUACAAAAAUAUUAAUUUUACUGUAGAUUUAAGAUAUAAUCUAAAGGGGGACAGCCCUUUAGAUACAGGUUAAAACCUUAACUAGAGAGUAAGUAUAUAAAUAUACCAUAGUGGGCCUAAAAGCAGCCAUCAAUAAAGAAAGCGUUCAAGCUCAACAACAUAACUAUUUAAAUCCCUAUAAUCAAUACCAACUCCUAGCAUUAAAACUGGACUACUCUAUAUUCGUAUAGAAGAACUACUGUUAAUAUUAGUAACAAGAAUUUAAUUCUCCUAGCACAAGUGUAUAUCAGAACGAAUAAUCACUGAUAGUUAACGAAUAUAAAGCAAACUAACCAACAAGCCCUUUAUCUACUUACGUUAAUCCAACACAGGAGUGCUUCAAGGAAAGAUUAAAAGGAGUAAAAGGAACUCGGCAAA
RNAcentral lists this ribosomal RNA (805 nucleotides) under Artibeus jamaicensis (Jamaican fruit-eating bat). RNAcentral's name for it is "partial 16S ribosomal RNA". The stretch from base 155 to 805 matches the Rfam family "Bacterial large subunit ribosomal RNA", at positions 569 to 1721 of the family's 2925-position model. The record is from RNAcentral. Lineage: Eukaryota; Metazoa; Chordata; Mammalia; Chiroptera; Phyllostomidae.